Molecule: ribosomal RNA, 331 nt
Filed under: uncultured eukaryote
Lineage: Eukaryota
Description: partial 18S ribosomal RNA
Rfam family: Eukaryotic small subunit ribosomal RNA
Source: RNAcentral
CCCUUAGAUGUUCUGGGCCGCACGCGCGCUACACUGGCAGGUUCAUCGAGCUUCAUGCCCUGAUCUGAGAAGAACGGGAAAUCUUUGAACACCUGCCGUGCUUGGGAUAGAUGUUUGCAAUUAUUCAUCUUCAACGAGGAUUGCCUUGUAAGCGCACGUCAUCAGCGUGCAUUGAAUACGACCCUGUAUUCUGUACACACCGCCCGUCGCUCCUACCGAUUGAAGUUUUCGGUGAAUUUACUGGAGAUCCCUUUUGAAGGUGGUUCGCCACUGGAAGAAGUAUUCAAAAGUAAAUGAAUCGAAUGCUUUAGAGGAAGGAGAAGUCGUAACA